This 71-nucleotide transfer RNA is filed under the name Candidatus Pacearchaeota archaeon CG10_big_fil_rev_8_21_14_0_10_32_14. RNAcentral's name for it is "tRNA-Ala". It matches the Rfam family "tRNA". From Rfam's summary of the family: Transfer RNA (tRNA) molecules are approximately 80 nucleotides in length. Their secondary structure includes four short double-helical elements and three loops (D, anti-codon, and T loops). Lineage: Archaea; Nanobdellati. The record is from RNAcentral.
GGGCCCGUAGUCUAACGGCAAAACACUUCGCUUGCACCGAUGAGCUCCGCGUUCAAUUCGCGGCGGGUCCA